UUACUUACCUGGCAGGGGAGAUGAUCAAGAAGGUGGUUUGCCCAGGGUGAGGCUCAGCUAUUGCACUCCGGCUGUGCUGACUCCUGCGAAUUCCCCAAAUGUGGGAAUCUCGACUGCAUAAUUUCUGGUAGUGGGGGACUGCGUUCGCACUCUCCCCGA
Trichomycterus rosablanca is the source of this 159-nucleotide small nuclear RNA. RefSeq annotates it as U1 spliceosomal RNA. NCBI's taxonomy places the organism in Eukaryota, Metazoa, Chordata, Actinopteri, Siluriformes, Trichomycteridae. The transcript has a single exon. The record is from RefSeq and is a predicted model, not a curated record.